GUCAAUACCAUGCUGAAUAUACCGGUUCUCGUUAGAUCACCGAAGUCAAGCAUCAUUGGGCGCGGUCAGUACUUGGGUGGGUGACCACCUGGGAACACCGCGUGCCGUU
This is a non-coding RNA of Caerostris darwini, 109 nucleotides long. The record is from the annotation of a GenBank genome assembly. NCBI's taxonomy places the organism in Eukaryota, Metazoa, Arthropoda, Arachnida, Araneae, Araneidae.